AAAGGCGCUUUCGGGUGUCGCUGAUGGAUGGACCCGCGGUGCAUUAGCUAGUUGGUGAGGUAACGGCUCACCAAGGCCACGAUGCAUAGCCGACCUGAGAGGGUGAUCGGCCACAUUGGGACUGAGACACGGCCCAAACUCCUACGGGAGGCAGCAGUAGGGAAUCUUCGGCAAUGGACGAAAGUCUGACCGAGCAACGCCGCGUGAGUGAAGAAGGUUUUCGGAUCGUAAAACUCUGUUGUUAGAGAAGAACAAGGAUGAGAGUAACUGUUCAUCCCUUGACGGUAUCUAACCAGAAAGCCACGGCUAACUACGUGCCAGCAGCCGCGGUAAUACGUAGGUGGCAAGCGUUGUCCGGAUUUAUUGGGCGUAAAGCGAGCGCAGGCGGUUUCUUAAGUCUGAUGUGAAAGCCCCCGGCUCAACCGGGGAGGGUCAUUGGAAACUGGGAGACUUGAGUGCAGAAGAGGAGAGUGGAAUUCCAUGUGUAGCGGUGAAAUGCGUAGAUAUAUGGAGGAACACCAGUGGCGAAGGCGGCUCUCUGGUCUGUAACUGACGCUGAGGCUCGAAAGCGUGGGGAGCAAACAGGAUUAGAUACCCUGGUAGUCCACGCCGUAAACGAUGAGUGCUAAGUGUUGGAGGGUUUCCGCCCUUCAGUGCUGCAGCUAACGCAUUAAGCACUCCGCCUGGGGAGUACGACCGCAAGGUUGAAACUCAAAGGAAUUGACGGGGGCCCGCACAAGCGGUGGAGCAUGUGGUUUAAUUCGAAGCAACGCGAAGAACCUUACCAGGUCUUGACAUCCUUUGACCACUCUAGAGAUAGAGCUUCCCCUU
RNAcentral lists this ribosomal RNA (831 nucleotides) under Enterococcus faecium. RNAcentral describes it as "bacterial SSU rRNA". It matches the Rfam family "Bacterial small subunit ribosomal RNA", at positions 202 to 1020 of the family's 1533-position model. Lineage: Bacteria; Bacillati; Bacillota; Bacilli; Lactobacillales; Enterococcaceae. The record is from RNAcentral.